GUUUGUAAUUGUAAAUGUAAACGUAAUGUCACUUAUUUGUAACUUGUAUGUCUCCAAGAAGACUCCAGUUUACGGCAGGCAGGGCCUUUCAUUUAUUCUCUUCUGUACAUUGUGUGAUCAAGAACCGUGAUUUUAAUCCUAGAGUCUUCAAUAUGCUUAGGGUUUUUUUUUAUUUGUUUUGUUGUUUUUUUUGCAAAGUAGGGGAUGUGAGUUCUUUGAGGUUUUAUGGACCCUUUAAGUAGUGAAAU
Molecule: non-coding RNA, 248 nt
Organism: Pelobates cultripes (western spadefoot toad)
Lineage: Eukaryota; Metazoa; Chordata; Amphibia; Anura; Pelobatidae
Source: the annotation of a GenBank genome assembly